AAGAAACUGAAGGCUAAGUGCAAUUCCCCCGAGUGAAGGCAACAAGUUUCCUGAUGGCUGUGAGAUGUUUGAGAAUAUGUAGGGCCAGGACUCAAAAUCCUUCUGGCUUCCCAUCUUCAGGCACAGUGACUGCGACCCAAGAGUUCAGAAGGCUCUUCUUACCUCCUGCCCUACCCUGCCAGCCAGGAUUUCCCAACUGUACUUGGUUCUGAAAACAUGUGAGCCAGGCCAGAAGGUCCUGACGUGACCAUCUCCCCUGGAACCUCCCUAGGUGUCCUGUCUCCACCUGGCUGACUGCUCAUCUUUCAAGAUCCUGUUCCAAUGUCACCACUGCUCUGUUUCUGGAUAAGGAGUCAAUCAAGAUGAGACUCAAAGAAGACACAAUUGCUUUCUUAACCUCAAAGAACACAAGAUUGCAGAGACAUGCAAAGAAUGACUCAGGCACGUGCCGUGUGGUGGCUCAACAUGCUAAUCCUCCACCCUGGCUUGUGUCUCAGCCGCUCCACUUCCCAUCCAGCUCCCUGCUUAUGGCCUGGAAAAGCAGUAGAGGAUGACCCAAAGUCUUGGGCCCCUGUACCACAUGGGAGAUCUGGAAGAAGCUCCUGGCUUCA
Ochotona princeps (American pika) is the source of this 611-nucleotide long non-coding RNA. RefSeq lists it as uncharacterized. The transcript has 4 exons. NCBI's taxonomy places the organism in Eukaryota, Metazoa, Chordata, Mammalia, Lagomorpha, Ochotonidae. The record is from RefSeq and is a predicted model, not a curated record.